AUCCGCCCGUCUCGGCCUCCCAAAGUGCUGGGAUUACAGGCUUGAGCCACCGCGCCCGGCCGCAAUGCUACCUCUUAAGAGUUAAUGAAUUUCCUUGUCAUCAGUUAGUACUGAUGAUUGACAUCUUGUUUUUUUAUUCUUCCAACUGUGGAAGCUAAUAGUGUGCAAUUUUUUUUAUUUCUCUUUAUUCUUUAUAUAUACUUGCAUAUUUAUUUAAUUGACACACUGAUAAUUUCUGUUUUAUGCAGUUACACAUUUGUUUACCUUUAAAACAAUUUCUUCAGCUUGUUUUAAUAAAUAAUAUUAAUAGAAGGCAACUACAUUUUUAUGUAAAAUUUACUUGUUGACAACCAUUUAGCAAUUUUCUUUUUCUUUCAAACCUUUAGCUAGAGGCCAUGUUUGCAAUAGCCCAUGGGAUCAGGGUCUUUAACUUUCACACAUUAUUAGAUUAUUGGCUUUUUCAUAUAUAGUCCACUUAAGGGAUUAUUGGUCAUACUAGUUUUUGUGUAUUCCUAAGUGUCCCAUCCUGUUGUGUUCCAUCCCAUCCCUACCACAAUGUCCGCACCUAUUAGGUUCUCAAUGAAUUUCUUCAUAGAUUCUUAUGAAUGAGCUUGGGAAUAAUUUGAGAUUACAGUCUAUGAAAAUAGGUAUCUUAAGGGUUGGAGAUUUCUAAAAAAAUGUUUGUUUGUUUUUUUGAGAUGGGGUCUCCCUCUGUCACCCAGGCCAGAGUGCAGUGACACUAUCACGGCUCACUGCAGCCUUAACUACCUGGGCUCAAGCAAUUCUCCCAUCUUGGCCUCCUAGCUAGCUAGGAUCCCAGGUACACAUCACCGUGCCUGGCUAACUUGUUUUGUUUGUAGAGAUGAGGUCUCAUUUGUUGCCUAGGCUGGUCUUGAACCACAAAAGGUAGCAAAGUGUAUUGAAUAAUAAUAUCUAGAGGAUGUAGAUAUAAUAAUAAUAGAUAUUAUUCCAAUGAUAUAAAAAAGCCCCAGGGAAGUUUUUUUCCGGGAUGAAAUGGUCAAGUGUUAAAUUUGCUAAUAAGUUAGAAUUUGAAAGUAUGCAGUUAUGUUUCUGUCCUAUAAAAGGAUUGAUCCAAGUGGACUGUGUUUGCCUUUGAUCAAGUUCUGUAAGCGAACACUUUCAGAAACCUUUCCCUAAAAAUUAUUUACUGGAAGUGUCCCACUGCGGGUUAUAACUGUUCAGUCCAGUCCUUUCUCCAUCUUCUUUUCUUUAUUCAUCUAUCAAUGAGGGUUUAGAUAUAAGGAGCUCUUAAUAUUUUCCUGUUUACUGUUGUAUUUGAGAUGAUUGGAUACAUUUAAGUGCAUUUAAACUGAAAUGCAGUUCACACAGUGGCAUAACUUGCAAAGGACUGUUACAGCAGAUGAUUGUAUUCUUAGUUUUUUUUAGACUACUUAGCUGUAGCACUUAAAUUUCAUUUUGUAGAGCCAACAUAAAGAACUUAUUCCAAAAAAAA
Long non-coding RNA from Cercocebus atys (sooty mangabey), 1474 nucleotides. RefSeq lists it as uncharacterized. The transcript has 2 exons. The record is from RefSeq and is a predicted model, not a curated record. NCBI's taxonomy places the organism in Eukaryota, Metazoa, Chordata, Mammalia, Primates, Cercopithecidae.